CCUCGGCCUCCCAAAGUGCUGGGAUUACAGAUAAAGGAAGCUUUUCAAGAUCCACCAAUUGAGGAUAAUCAAACCUUCCACAGUCUAGAACCUGGAGAUUCUGUCUUCUGGAAAUGACAUCAGAGGAAGGCUGCUCUUGACAACUCUUUGGAAGGGACUGUGCCGAGUUCUUCUCAACACCUACACUGCAGUGAAGCUUCAGGGCCUUGAAACUUGGGUCCACACCUCACAACUCAAAAGGACCUCUUCAGACUCCUGGAACUGUACAUCUGCUAGAGACUUUAAGGUAAAGCUGUCUAAGGAAAAAUCUCCAGAGCAGAUGACAUUCUAGUUGUGGACAGCUUUCCCAAGAUCACAGAUGAAGACUUCUGUAUCAUCAUGAAAGCCUUACAUUUUUUUCUUUUCUCCUCAUUUCCUGUUGCCCUAAUUCUUUCUUUUUCCCUACAGAAAAAUCCAUGGGACCAUAACCAGUGGAUGCCUUUAGCUUGAGCAUCUGCUGUAGCACAGAACCAGAGUUUGUGGAUUAUUGGGUUUGUUGUUUAUUGCCAAAAAAAUAUAAGGAAACAAUUCCACUAAUGCCAGUGCCUCUCCAUGUUCCCAAUGAGAGUCACCCCAAAAUUCCAAGGGAAGGAUGGAAAGCUAUCCUUGAUAUUCUGAACACCACUGCUACUUGCUUUCCUGCACUCACUAAAAAGAACACUUUAACUUUUCCUUUUUUUUUUUUUUUCUUUUUUUGAGACAGUCUCACUCUGUUGCCAAGGUUGGAGUGCAGUGGCCUGAUCUUGGCUCACUGCAGCCUCCACCUCCCAGGUUCAAGGGAUUCUCCUGCCUCAGCCACCCAAGUAGCUGGGACUACAGGCGUGCACCACCGCAUCCAGCUGAUUUUUGAAUUUUUUGUAGAGACAGGGUUUUGCUAUGCUGGCCAGGCUUGUCUUGAACCUCCUGGCCUCAAGUGAUCUGCCAGCCUUGGUUUCCCAAAGUUCUGGGAUUACAGGCGUGAGCCACCACACCCUGCCUUAACUGUUUCAAUUAAUAACCUGAUCAUUACCAAAGUAUAGAAAACCAAUCCAAGUGAUGACUGCAAAAGAUAUAUUGUGCUUUCAGGCAUCAUGUACUCAAGAUUUGGGAUUUACCUAUGUGAGUACAAGUAAUUGCUUGUAUAAUGUCACCAGAUUAAAUUCAACAGGGUCUCUUUUUACCAAAUGUUUUAUAUACCCUUACAACAUGCUAUAAGAGGGGCACAAAAAGGUCAAUUUCUCAAUGGAUUUUGUUCAGCAGCUAUGCAGAUUUAUUAAUGAACAAAUCUAACUGAACCCUGCUCAAAUGCAACUAGGUAGCCCUGUUUUUCAACUCCCAAGGACCUAUUUUGGGUCUGUGGAUAAUCUGCAUAUUUCAUUCUGCCUCUUCGUUGGCUCAGAUCUUGCUAUUUGGUCUGGCUCACUCCUGCCUUUCAAAUAGUUUCACCUAAAAAUUCUCCUAACAGCUCUUAUGAUUGGAGGCCAAAAUAGUCAAUAACUGAAAUUAGCACUAGCUUUGAAAUAGACAAAGAUAAGCUAGUUUCCACUGAGGAAAGAUUCCAGUGGGGUUCCUGGGGGCUCACUCUUGGUGGUAGUGGGAUACUAGUUGUAUGGAAUCCAAAGCUAAUCCAUAUGUGGGGUCUUGGAUUUUAUAGCCAAUCAAACAUCCCAGUGUUUCAGACAGGUAGACACUACUCUCCAAAAGGUAGAUGUGGCCUGGUGCAAUGGCUCAUGCCUGUAAUCCCAGCACUUUGGGAGGCCAAGGCAGGUGGAUCGCCUGAGGUCAGGAGUUCGAGACCAGCCUGCCCACCAUGGUGAAACCCUGUCUCUACUAAGUACAAAAAAUUAGCCAGGCAUGGUGGCACGUGCCUGUAGUCCCAGCUACUUGGGAGGCUGAGGCAGGAGAAUUGCUUGAACCCAGGAGUCACAGGUUGCAGUGAGCUGAGAUCACCCCACUGCACUCCAGCCUGGGUGACAGAGCAAGACCCUGUCUCAAGAAAAAAAAAAAAAAAAAAAAACAAGAGGUAGAUGUUACAGUUAAUGGAACAUCAUACAGCUUCAUAUCUCCUUUUUACUCAAGCUGGGGCCUGUGUUUGGUGUUGAACAAAAUAGAAUGCUGCAGUUAUCUCUCUCCUGAUUUUGUUACUACAGAAAGCUUAAUGUAAAGGUGGCUGAUACUGCUGUUUCCUUAGACACUGACACCAAAUACAAUAAAGAAGUCUCUCAAGAGGAAAACAUGGUGUGUUUACAGGAGCAACUAACAGUUGGUUUGUAGGCAUCCUAAAUGGUGGAUGGCAAGCUUGGGUUUCCCAAAGGUUUCUAGUCUUUAUAUGUCUUCUAGUAGGUGUCCAGGUUAGUAUGGCUUGUGUUACCAGAGCAACAAUGAAAAUGGCUACAUCUUUAAAUCAGGCCACUUUACAGUGAACUAUGAUCCUUAAUUGCUACCACAUUUCAAACAAGAACUAUGACCAAUUAAACUUUACUGUUGUUGAACUGCCUAUGUUGCCUGAACUUUGACUGGUUUAAGUUGGUUUCAUUUAUUUAAUAAGAACACUUGUUAAGGAGUGCAUCUUGGUAUUUUGAUAUUAUUCUCUUGAUAGUCAUAAUAAUAGUUCCCUAGUGUGCUGCAUCCUCUCAAGUCUUAAAUGUUUUGUAUGCAGCCAUACAUUGAGAAUUGAAUGGUCUCACUUUGACUAGGUCAGCAAGAACAUAGAGAAUCAUUCACCUAGUGUGAAGCUGUGACUUGUGAACUUCAUAGUGACACCAGUAAAGACUUGUGAACUGGCUGGG
RNAcentral lists this long non-coding RNA (2807 nucleotides) under Homo sapiens (human). RNAcentral's name for it is "HSALNT0303566". The stretch from base 1866 to 2013 matches the Rfam family "Metazoan signal recognition particle RNA". Lineage: Eukaryota; Metazoa; Chordata; Mammalia; Primates; Hominidae. The record is from RNAcentral.